UUAAAUUGAAGAGUUUGAUCAUGGCUCAGAUUGAACGCUGGCGGCAGGCCUAACACAUGCAAGUCGAGCGGCAGCGGGGGGAAGCUUGC
This 89-nucleotide ribosomal RNA is filed under the name Dickeya dianthicola. RNAcentral's name for it is "partial 16S ribosomal RNA". It matches the Rfam family "Bacterial small subunit ribosomal RNA", at positions 1 to 87 of the family's 1533-position model. The record is from RNAcentral. Lineage: Bacteria; Pseudomonadati; Pseudomonadota; Gammaproteobacteria; Enterobacterales; Pectobacteriaceae.